UAACUAUAUUUCAAAGUUAUGGCUGGUUGUGUGGGUCUGUUAAACAGUUGUUGGCUAAUUUUCCAUAGCAAAAAAGAAUAAUGACCACCUCAUAAAUUGUGUUUCUGUAUGCAUUUUGAUUAACAGAGAUUAUUAUUGAUUUAAAAAGGGGAGUCUGAAAGGAUUAAACUCCAUUAAUAAAUAAAUACUGUCUGAAUGUUAACAGUUUUAAAUGUCACUAGCCUAACACUUCAUAAUACACAGAUCUAACAAGUAUUUUCCUCCAGGCAGAAGGUCUCCAUGAAAAGAGCUUUGAAUAUAGCAGUACAUUGAAGCACAACUAACGACUUGGCUGAUUGUUUUUCUCUAUGCCAACUCCAAGGCUGUGCUCCCAGUGCUCCAACCACAGGCAAAAGGCAGCAGCAGAAGGUCUUUACAUCCCUGUCUUAACGGGGAAAAAAAUGCAACCUCCAGGCAAGGCUCCCUUGGGCUGUAGCCAGUCCCGGGGGGAGGGGGGGCGGACAGGGCUGGGGAUGAGUGCAAAAUGUAGUGCCCAGCAUCAGGCUGAGGAAGUCCUGAGUUUGAAGUAUCCAAAUGCGCAGAACAAGUCACAGAUUAGGUGUGCUUCUUGGUAGACCCCCACCAAAUUCUGCAUCUGUGUCUUGAAAAUGUGCUUGUACUGAGAAACAAAGAGCACCUUUUCUCUGGCCGAAUGCACGCAGGUGAAUUUUGCAUUCCGCAUAGCUAAACAACAAAUCCUUGGAAGAAUUUCUGAAUCCUUUGGAGAAGUAUGAGGAGGUAGUGUGAGCUUUCCCGUGAUCCUCCAUAAGCCGACCAUAUCUUUGCUUUUCUGCAUUUUCCCAGAGGCUGGGAACCAGGCCCAAAAAAUGUUGACAGGAAGGGGUUUUCCAAUGUAAAACAAACUCAGGCUCACGUUCAGAUGAUACAAAAUGUAAAUGUGCAAAAUCGCAUCACGGUCUUGCUCUCGUUUUUUUAUCAGUCCAGAAAGCAAAUAUCCAGAAGCCGCUCCAAGUCAUGACUUCAAAAGCGCGUAUCUUUUGCUAUCUGGAACCAGCUUCCACCAUGCCACAUAACCCCCUGGAAGAUUAGCCAACAUCGCUUUCAACUUACCACUUGCAGCUGCUUGGAACUCCACAUCGAUUCUCCGCAGAGUUGCAGCGCCUAACUGGACAGUGAACACAUGAAUCUCUGCCAGCACUGGAGUCUACGGCACCAUGAUUUGCAAACAUGUUGAAUUGCUAUUUUAUUCAAUAAAUGGGACGUACAAUAGAAAAUAGGUUUGGAA
RNAcentral lists this long non-coding RNA (1285 nucleotides) under Felis catus (domestic cat). RNAcentral's name for it is "lncRNA (ENSFCAG00000042186.2)". Lineage: Eukaryota; Metazoa; Chordata; Mammalia; Carnivora; Felidae. The record is from RNAcentral.